CCGGGCCUUGUACACACUGCCCGUCACACCAUGGGAGUGGGUUGCAAAAGAAGUAGGUAGCUUAACCUUCGGGAGGGCGCUUACCACUUUGUGAUUCAUGACUGGGGUGAAGUCGUAACAAGGUAACCGUAGGGGAACCUGUGGUUGGAUCACCUCCUUACCU
Molecule: ribosomal RNA, 163 nt
Filed under: Sodalis-like symbiont of Philaenus spumarius
Lineage: Bacteria; Pseudomonadati; Pseudomonadota; Gammaproteobacteria; Enterobacterales; Bruguierivoracaceae
Description: partial 16S ribosomal RNA
Rfam family: Bacterial small subunit ribosomal RNA
Source: RNAcentral